UCCUGGCUCAGAUUGAACGCUGGCGGCAUGCUUUACACAUGCAAGUCGAACGGCAGCGGGGGCUUCGGCCUGCCGGCGAGUGGCGAACGGGUGAGUAAUGCAUCGGAACGUGCCCAAGUCGUGGGGGAUAACGUAUCGAAAGGUACGCUAAUACCGCAUACGUCCUGAGGGAGAAAGCGGGGGAUCUUCGGACCUCGCGCGAUUGGAGCGGCCGAUGUCGGAUUAGCUAGUAGGUGAGGUAAAGGCUCACCUAGGCGACGAUCCGUAGCGGGUCUGAGAGGAUGAUCCGCCACACUGGGACUGAGACACGGCCCAGACUCCUACGGGAGGCAGCAGUGGGGAAUUUUGGACAAUGGGCGCAAGCCUGAUCCAGCCAUGCCGCGUGAGUGAAGAAGGCCUCGG
RNAcentral lists this ribosomal RNA (402 nucleotides) under uncultured bacterium. RNAcentral describes it as "bacterial SSU rRNA". It matches the Rfam family "Bacterial small subunit ribosomal RNA", at positions 17 to 420 of the family's 1533-position model. The record is from RNAcentral.